AGGCCAUUUUUGAUGCAGCUGACUGACUGUUCGACUAGCCAAAAGAGUUGCGUCUGGACCAAAUUUAGUCAAUGAGCAGUUGAGGCAACAGGAUUGGCAUAGACUGAUGCCUGCCUGUCAGGCCAUUUUUGAUGCAGCUGACUGUUGUUCGACUAGCCACAAGAGUUGCGUCUGGACCAAAUUUAGUCAAUGAGCAGUUGAGGCAACAGGAUUGGCAUAGACUGAUGCCUGUCUGUCUGGUGAGUCAGGCCUUGGUGUGUUUCUAAUAUGAAACUUCAUUAUCUACCGGUUUUAAAUAUUUUUUUUGGUGUAGUGGAAGGUUUAGUUUGAAUAAAAUAGGUUGUUUUUAGAUGCAAUGCCUUUCUUAUAUAAAGAAAACUUUUUAUUCAAUUUGAUGUUCUGCGGCUCUCAUUCUGAUGUUCCUUCGGAGUUCAAGUUCCUCACGGGAUGGAAGUGGGACACUGUUGAUAUUCCUAGGGACAUCAUGCGGGGGGGACAGAAUCAGAAUUUCCUCCUCUUCUGUUCCUAGAAGACCUGGGCUCUUUGCAUACUUUUCAAUCUCCUCCAAUAAAUUUGCCCUCCACUCAUUACACUUUUCCUCGUAUUUUGUUUCCAACUGAUAGGUCUUUCUCAGUUUUGAGAACGUAGUUUUGGUUCCAACCGAAGCCCUUCCGGUGUUAUGGUUGUGGUCCAAGACCGCAAGAAUGGUCUUGAGAAGCAUGUUCUCGUAAAAAAAAUGGACUCUCUUUGAUGCGUACACAAGAAUGACAUUAUGGAAGCUUUCCAAGUUUCCGGUGUGGACGAAGUGUUUGCAGUGUUUCAGUUGGUUCAAAAAUCGCGUAUUGUGAGUAACCUGUUGAUUUAAAAAUUUUAGUAACUGAAAAUAAUUAUUUGCUAAAUUCAACUUUUUUUAAUGCUGCAAAGGCAGAUUCAUCAGUAAUCCAAUCAAUUUUCGCUUCACUUUCAUCCUCAUAUGUCCUGUGAUCGCAGGUUUUUGUUUCUUUUCCUUCUUUCCACUGAUGUUUUCCUCGAAUGUGAUAAAGCAUGGAAUUCCAUUUUUCUAAUAGGGUAUCUGAAUCUCCUCCACAAGUGCUGCUAACAUGCCAAAUGUGGUUUACUAUGGCCUCUAUCCAUCCCUCAAUUUGCUUGUGUUUUUUGGCCACCGCUAUUAGUUUUUUCCUCAGCCCUUUGGCCAGAUGCCAGACCUAUUUAAAAAGUGGAAUAUUACUUAUAUAUUGCAGCUAGUUUACUUACGUCAAAAGCAUGCUCGACAUCCUUGAAGUUUUCUCGCAUCAUUUUUGCUACUGAAGGAUUCCGAUCUGUGCAGAAGAUUCGGACUUUACCAACUCCCAACUUUUCUACCAGUCUAUUGAAAACGUAAGCACAAGAUUUAGACUCCAUUUCCCCUGGUAGAAAUCCCUUUUGCCACAGCACGAAAUCGAUAAUUUUGUUGUUGAAGUUGCUCAUAAUCGAGUAGAGGGCAUAUUUUGCGCUGUGUCCUGGGGAGUCGAAGCGUGCGUCUCCGGACACAACCAAGUCAUCUUUACUUUGAAGAUCUUUGAAAAUUUCCUCUCUCAUCCUAAUCCACGAGUGUCGCAAGAUCGGGGCCGUGAAGUUAUUGAUAUGGCUGUAGAACGUUUGAUGCGAGAAGAAUGCGAGUCCAAUAGCGUCUGUCAUUUUGCGAAUAGUUGUGUAUCCAAUUCCAGCGCAAAAAAUAGCUGCAGCCAAGAGAAUGUUGAAAAUGGGGGUGUUUUUUUCUUUCGGAGUUGUGCUCCAAGAAAAUUGAUGGUCAUGCUUAAAACACCUUGUGUGAUAUGUAAUCACUGAGCCUACUCUUUUGCGCUCAACGGAAUUUAUGCUGGCACACACAGAACAAUGUUGCAUCAAAGUGUCUAGCUGACAAAUGUCCACAAUGACAAAUUUAAUUCCUAUCAUGUUGCUCUCCAGAUCUUCUUCAGUGAAUGAUUCGUCUGCAGUGGAUACAAUUGAGGAAUCAAGCUCAGGCUGCUCAUAAUCAUGAUCAAGUUCGUCAGCAUCAUCAAAAAUGGUCGAAGGAGGAGAAGAUGGAGGUGAUUUGAAAAUCUGUCCCCUGUCUGAAGAGUCCGCUGUCUCAGGCACAUGGAGAGGAACAUUUGAUGUUGGUGCACAGCUCUUGGGUUUUUUUACUGGUAUAUCGGGCUUGUGGAUCCCUUCAACUACUUUCACUGGAGACAAGAUCUUUGGCUCAAACGAUUGUUUGCGCUUGGACGUUGUUGGCGCUGGACGAAAUGAAAUUUGUUCG
Long non-coding RNA from Cloeon dipterum, 2281 nucleotides. RefSeq lists it as uncharacterized. The record is from RefSeq and is a predicted model, not a curated record. NCBI's taxonomy places the organism in Eukaryota, Metazoa, Arthropoda, Insecta, Ephemeroptera, Baetidae. The transcript has 3 exons.